Molecule: unclassified non-coding RNA, 313 nt
Filed under: fungal sp.
Lineage: Eukaryota; Fungi
Description: partial internal transcribed spacer region
Rfam family: Eukaryotic small subunit ribosomal RNA (bases 1-46)
Source: RNAcentral
AAGUCGUAACAAGGUUUCCGUAGGUGAACCUGCGGAAGGAUCAUUAACAGAGUUUUAGGGUGAGAGCGUAAAAAACUCUCGCUCGAACUCCCACACCCUGAUGUUAUGCGGUUACCUCUGUUGCCUCGGCGGGCCAGUCCGAAUCCCCUAACCGGGGAGGAAGGGCUACCGGCUCCGACUGCGAUCUUUCAGCGGUCGGGGAGUGGUCGUGCCCGCCAGAGGGUGAAUUUCCAAGACUCUUUUUGAUGACCUGUCGACUCUGAGUUAAACCAUAAAAUCAUCAAAACUUUCAACAACGGAUCUCUUGGUUCUG